Long non-coding RNA from Sarcophilus harrisii (Tasmanian devil), 406 nucleotides. RefSeq lists it as uncharacterized. The record is from RefSeq and is a predicted model, not a curated record. NCBI's taxonomy places the organism in Eukaryota, Metazoa, Chordata, Mammalia, Dasyuromorphia, Dasyuridae. The transcript has 3 exons.
UGUCAGUUAUAAAGUUAAGGCUUAGAUGGGAACCUGAGCCAUUUUGUGUACACAAAAGAUAAGUAGAUUAAAAUAAUUCAAGAUUUAAAUUUCCUACUGGAAUAGUUGUACCAAGGGAAGAGAGUAGAAACUAAUGGAACUUUCCAUGUGGAAGAGAUUGGAGACCUCACUUUCAGGGAGACAUAAUGAAAUUUAAGCUUGGAAUCAGUGGACAGAGGGAAAGGAAGCUGCUUUGAAUAAAGGAAAUCUGGCAUCCUCCCAGGAAGAUAUAUAGCACUAAGCAUCACAGGGGUAGACAACAUCAUUAUCAUUAUCAUUCCCCAUGACCAGAGGCAACUACAAGAGGAAACAAAACUCCUUCAAAGGGGAUAGCAUCAUGUCAGAUACAAGAAGUUGCCACAAAAUA